UGAGGAAUAUUGGUCAAUGGGCGCAAGCCUGAACCAGCCAUCCCGCGUGCAGGAUGAAGGCCUUCGGGUUGUAAACCGCUUUCAGCAGGGAUGAAAAUGACAGUACCUGCAGAAGAAGCCCCGGCUAACUACGUGCCAGCAGCCGCGGUAAUACGUAGGGGGCAAGCGUUAUCCGGAUUCAUUGGGCGUAAAGAGCGCGUAGGCGGCUUGUUAAGCGAGAUGUGAAAUCCGGGGGCUUAACCCGCGGCUUGCAUCUCGAACUGGCAGGCUUGAGUUUGGUAGAGGAGUGUGGAAUUCCCAGUGUAGCGGUGAAAUGCGCAGAUAUUGGGAGGAACACCAGUGGCGAAGGCGGCACUCUGGGCCAUAACUGACGCUGAGGCGCGAAAGCUAGGGGAGCGAACAG
This 403-nucleotide ribosomal RNA is filed under the name uncultured bacterium. RNAcentral's name for it is "bacterial SSU rRNA". It matches the Rfam family "Bacterial small subunit ribosomal RNA", at positions 355 to 775 of the family's 1533-position model. The record is from RNAcentral.